Anopheles darlingi is the source of this 785-nucleotide long non-coding RNA. RefSeq lists it as uncharacterized. Lineage: Eukaryota; Metazoa; Arthropoda; Insecta; Diptera; Culicidae. The record is from RefSeq and is a predicted model, not a curated record. The transcript has 3 exons.
UCGUCCUAUUGUUUAUCCUGGUCUCCGGAAUUCGGAUAUUCUCUACGGAAAGAGGUGCUGCUCCUUUUGAGGAAGGUUUCGUGAAUGUUUUGUAUUCGCAUGAUGCUACAGGCAACUAACGAUAUCGCCAUCCAGUGCAAUGUGUCCGGAGGCCUUUGCUUCAUCCUGACAUAUCCACUCCUGCGGCCGAUGAUGUACUGGCCAUGGCAAAGCCAUGCUGAUGGAUGAUGCUUUGUAUCAGAAUGCAGCAAGGUAUGAAAACGUUUCUAUGCACCGAUCUCCAAGACCAAACAGACGCAUCUAUUCCGAUGCGAAAAAGGGAACCGAUGAAAGAUCGCUCAGAACCCCUUUAGCUUUCGCAUCGGUUGCUAAAGACGACUGUGAAUCAAGGAUCAUUAUCCUUCUUCCAUGUGGCUGAUGAUCACAGUUUGCUCUGGUCGUGGAUUACCUCCUGUACCGCAUCGUUGCUGGCAAUGCUCUGUCACGAAUUGAGUUUUUCGUGGAUUUGCGCGGAAAAAACAAAUCGUCCUGAUUGUGCUGUAACGUGUGUUUCGCCUUUUUGAUCUUGGGGCAAUUAAAGACUUCCAACGAAAAAAUAGUUUUCGAGGAAUCCUUUGUCAGGACUCUGGAAUUUGUUCUCAAGCAACUUAUUUUAGAAAAUGUUGCCAAAGCUGCCUCAAUUAUGAUACAUUUUUUUCAAAGAUACAAGAACUUCAUCAUUCUUGAGUACCUAUUAAAUGAUGCAAUAAUAGGUGUGUUUUUCCAUUCUGGAUGAAAACUAAUUC